RNAcentral lists this ribosomal RNA (774 nucleotides) under uncultured Neocallimastigales. Its description in RNAcentral is "partial large subunit ribosomal RNA". It matches the Rfam family "Eukaryotic large subunit ribosomal RNA", at positions 26 to 614 of the family's 3401-position model. Lineage: Eukaryota; Fungi; Neocallimastigomycota; Neocallimastigomycetes; Neocallimastigales. The record is from RNAcentral.
CGCAUCUGUGCAUGCAGCAUAUCAAUAAGCGGAGGAAAAGAAACUAACAAGGAUUCCCCUAGUAACGGCGAGUGAAGCGGGAAGAGCUCAAAUUUGAAAUCUUAAAGGGUUUCCCUUUACGAAUUGUAGUUUAAAGAAGUGUUUUCUGUUGAGGUUUUGGUAAAAGUUCUUUGGAAUAGGACAUCAUAGAGGGUGAGAAUCCCGUAUUUGACCUUUACUUUCAACUUUGUGAUACACUUUCAAAGAGUCGGAUUGUUUGGGAAUGCAGUCCAAAAUGGGUGGUAAAUUUCAUCUAAAGCUAAAUAUUGGCGAGAGACCGAUAGCGAACAAGUACCGUGAGGGAAAGAUGAAAAGAACUUUGAAAAGAGAGUUAAACAGUACGUGAAAUUGUCAAAAGGGAAGCGUUUGACACCAGUGUUGUUUUUCUGAAAAUCAAUUAAAGAACUGUUUAUGCUAAGUUGUUUAGACUUUAUCAGCUAACUGUUUAGUUUUGAGCUUUUCUUUAAUGCACUUUUCAGUUAACAAGUCAACAUCAAUUUCUUUUGCCGUAAAAAAGCUUGAGGAAGGUGGCUUGAGAUUCGUCUUAAGUGUUUAUAGCCUCUUGCCUAUGCAGUCGGAGAGAUUGAGGUCUGCAGCGUAGAUCCUUCGGGGCUAAAUGCAUUUGUGCUAAGUUAUAACAUUUUAUAGACAACUUGUUGACUAUGAUUUGUCUUGUAGUUUACUCGCUUAUGUUAUUUUACCUACGCUUAGGAUGUUGAACGCGCACAGAGUCUC